CCUACGGGAGGCUGCAGUGAGGAAUAUUGGUCAAUGGACGAGAGUCUGAACCAGCCAAGUAGCGUGAAGGAUGACUGUCCUAUGGGUUGUAAACUUCUUUUAUAUGGGAAUAAAAUGUUCCACGUGUGGGAUUUUGUAUGUACCAUAUGAAUAAGGAUUGGCUAACUCCGUGCCAGCAGCCGCGGUAAUACGGAGGAUCCGAGCGUUAUCCGGAUUUAUUGGGUUUAAAGGGAGCGUAGGUGGAUUGUUAAGUCAGUUGUGAAAGUUUGCGGCUCAACCGUAAAAUUGCAGUUGAAACUGGCAGUCUUGAGUACAGUAGAGGUGGGCGGAAUUCGUGGUGUAGCGGUGAAAUGCUUAGAUAUCACGAAGAACUCCGAUUGCGAAGGCAGUUCACUGGACUGCAACUGACACUGAGGCUCGAAAGUGUGGGUAUCAAACAGGAUUAGAUACCCGGGUAGUC
RNAcentral lists this ribosomal RNA (460 nucleotides) under uncultured bacterium. Its description in RNAcentral is "partial 16S ribosomal RNA". It matches the Rfam family "Bacterial small subunit ribosomal RNA", at positions 338 to 795 of the family's 1533-position model. The record is from RNAcentral.